UUCUUUUCCCCUCACCAAAAUAUUCCUCUCGUCUUAUCCAGUUAAGGCCGCAGCCUUCAGGUCGCUACCACUGCUGUGGGUUGCCAUCCCCAUGAGGUUGCUGUUGUUCCGACGCCUCUACUCGUCGAGGCCGUUGCCGGGCAGUUGUGGCUGCUAGGAAUUGUUGAUGCCAGUGGUACGUCCUAGUUUUCCUUCUCUAUGGUGAUGGCUAGGUAAGACUUAGGGAUUUGGGGCAGCAUCUCAUAGAUUGGAAUUAGAUAUGAGAACUGGAGAUGGAUUCCUGAAACACUUUGCAAAUUCGUUGGUGAGCCCAGUGCUUAUAAUUAUUUGGUUUUGCUUCCAGGUCAGACCUCCUCUAUGUUAGUUCCUUUGCUUAGCCAAAUAAGUUAGGGAAGAUAGCCCAUCCAUGAUGUUGUGAGAUGUGGACUGCCUUCUAGCAGAAAAACUAGAGUGUUGGGCAUCUCUGACUGUAAACUGAAUCUGGUUCAGUUAAAACCGCACUGACAAAUCUAGAUAGCCAGUUUCUAGGUGGAAAUUGAGUUAGUUAUGCUCACAAUUUCGAGUUGGCCUCUACAUAUCAGUUGCAAAGCAUGUUCCAAGGUUUCCGUGGAGUACUUACUUGCUUCAUUUGGAUGUACGGUUUGAGAGCAAUCGUCUAUUUGGUUACUGUCCAGAAACACAGUUUCGUGGGUACAGUAUUUUCAUAUGGAAGAUUAGGCCCUGUUGGAGGUGGAAUUAAAAUAAAGUUACAACAUAAAAUUUGUAGAGGAUAUUCUGCAGAUUCUUAAACAUAUAUUAUUUGUUAGAUUCCGUGUUAUACACUAAAUCCUAUGAAAUUAUUAAAAUGACUGUACUAUGACAGACAAAAUUUUAUGUUUGGACUUGGGUGAAUGUAAAUAGACUUAUACUCUCACAUUUUGUCGCCGUUGAUGAUGUGAGGAGUUAUAAUGUGAUAAAGUAUAUAUGAUCUAGGGUCUUGUGUGUAGGAGCGAUGCAAAAUUAUAUAUGCUUAUGUAAUCAGACCAUGCUUUAUUGUGACUGUGAUAUAUGCUUCAUGAUAGGUGGGGGUAUUUUGGAUUCGAACUGGUUGCCUCACAAUUUGUGCCCCGCGGUUGAGGCAAGUUCAUGAUGGGAUAACGACUUGCAUAAUCCCUACACUCUAUUUUAUUUAUGAUAUUUGUCCAUGUGAAUGAUGUUUAUUGUGAUGGAGGUGACGAUGACAAAGACAUGUUGAUUCAAGUACUUUGCUUGCAUUUGCAUAUUUGCAUUCAUGAUGAUAGAGAAAGAAAGAGUACCCUACCUUGGGUAGGCACAUUGAGCAUCCAUUGUUGGGUUGUGACCAGCUUUGGAGGCAACCUCCACGCGCUGGAGUGAGCGGAUGUCGAUGGGCGUCCACUCAAGCAAUACCGGUAUACGCAAUGAAAUGAGAUGAGCAUGUAGGCAUGUAGGACACCAAUACAUGUGUUCAGUGUUGUUGAGUGUAUGUUGUUAACAUAGAUUUAGUGCUUUCUUAUGAGUAUUGUUUAGUAUUCCUUUAUGAACUUGUUGAGUCCUUGUACUCACCCUUGUUGCUUACAUGUUUUUAGGUAAACCAUGAAGAAAACAUGCAUGAGAGUCGUGGGGUAGCAGUAUCACCAUCUUCACUACAGGAAUAUCUCAUAUGUUAACUUCUGGCACCGUGUUUUGAGAGCUUGUAUGGCUUAUACCUUACUUCACAUGGUGGAUUGUCUUGGAAUUCGAGAUUUACGCUUUCGUUCUGUAUGGCUUAACUAAUUUCCACUAAGACGUACAUGAUCGCCUAGAGUUUUGAAGUGGCACUUGGUUAAUGUUGGUAUUGUAGCUUUGCGCUUUAUGCUUGUGUUUGGUUCCUUUUCAUACAUAAUCAUAUGAUUUGUGUGUCAUGGAUGUCCUUAGAUACAGAGAAAGC
This 1927-nucleotide long non-coding RNA is filed under the name Triticum aestivum (bread wheat). Its description in RNAcentral is "long non-coding RNA (TAES_LNC020603)". The record is from RNAcentral. Lineage: Eukaryota; Viridiplantae; Streptophyta; Magnoliopsida; Poales; Poaceae.